This 23-nucleotide non-coding RNA is filed under the name Cricetulus griseus (Chinese hamster). The record is from RNAcentral. Lineage: Eukaryota; Metazoa; Chordata; Mammalia; Rodentia; Cricetidae.
ACUCUAGGUUCCUGGGAGCGAGA